Molecule: ribosomal RNA, 114 nt
Filed under: Erinaceus europaeus (western European hedgehog)
Lineage: Eukaryota; Metazoa; Chordata; Mammalia; Eulipotyphla; Erinaceidae
Source: RNAcentral
GUCUAUGACCAUAUCACCCUGAACAUGUCUGAUCUCAGAAGCUAAGUAGGGUUGAGCCUGGUUAGUACUUGGGUGGGAGAGAACUAUUUUCAAGUAAGACAAGAAUUAAUGCUC